This 149-nucleotide ribosomal RNA is filed under the name uncultured bacterium. Its description in RNAcentral is "partial 16S ribosomal RNA". It matches the Rfam family "Bacterial small subunit ribosomal RNA", at positions 335 to 482 of the family's 1533-position model. The record is from RNAcentral.
UUUCCUACGGGAGGCAGCAGUGGGGAAUCUUCGGCAAUGGGCGCAAGCCUGACCGAGCCAUGCCGCGUGAGCGAUGAAGGCCUUAGGGUUGUAAAGCUCUUUCUCCUAGGGAGGAUAGUUGCAUACCUGGAAAGAACCCCGCAAUGCGG